GGAGAGGUGGCAGAGUGGUUGAAUGCGGCGGUCUCGAAAACCGCUAUGGCGGCAACGUCAUCGAGGGUUCGAAUCCCUCCCUCUCCG
RNAcentral lists this transfer RNA (87 nucleotides) under Synechococcaceae cyanobacterium SM2_3_1. RNAcentral's name for it is "tRNA-Ser". It matches the Rfam family "tRNA". Rfam says of the family: Transfer RNA (tRNA) molecules are approximately 80 nucleotides in length. Their secondary structure includes four short double-helical elements and three loops (D, anti-codon, and T loops). Lineage: Bacteria; Bacillati; Cyanobacteriota; Cyanophyceae; Synechococcales; Synechococcaceae. The record is from RNAcentral.